GCCAGUGUACCGAAAGCAAAGGAGACGCUGACACUUUUCUUGCCUUCUUGCCACUUGGGCCUUCCAGCCAGAUCAGAAGAUUGAUGGCUAAAAGACCUUUGACAUCACUUCUAGAUUCUGUCCUCCUGGACCCACCUCUUCCACUUGCUCAGCCUCAUAACCUCCUCUACUUCCAUCUGGAGGCAAUCAGCAGAAGAUUCAAGUCUGAAAAGACAUUCUUCUUGAAUUGUGUGUUAUUUAUUUUGUUGUUUUGUCUACCAAUUACAAUCUUUACAAUUUC
Molecule: long non-coding RNA, 280 nt
Organism: Polypterus senegalus (gray bichir)
Lineage: Eukaryota; Metazoa; Chordata; Cladistia; Polypteriformes; Polypteridae
Exons: 2
Source: RefSeq, a predicted model, not a curated record